GAUGAAGAACGUAGCGAAAUGCGAUAAGUAAUGUGAAUUGCAGAAUUCAGUGAAUCAUCGAAUCUUUGAACGCACCUUGCGCUCCUUGGUAUUCCGAGGAGCAUGCCUGUUUGAGUGUCAUGAAAUUCUCAACCUUUUCAGCUUUCUUUGUUGAUCAGGCUUGGAUGUGGGAGUAUGCGGGCUUCUCAGAAGUCGGCUCUCCUGAAAUGCAUUAGCGGGACCUUUGUUGCCUGGCUUUGGUGUGAUAAUUAUCUACGCCAUUGUGGUCAAGCAGCUUAAAAUGAGGUUUCAGCUUCUAACCGUCUCCCCUGAGACAACUUUUUGACAAUUUGACCUCAAAUCAGGUAGGACUACCCGCUGAACUUAAGCAUAUCAUAAGCGGAGGA
Molecule: unclassified non-coding RNA, 386 nt
Filed under: soil metagenome
Description: partial contains 5.8S ribosomal RNA, internal transcribed spacer 2, and large subunit ribosomal RNA
Rfam family: 5.8S ribosomal RNA (bases 1-120)
Source: RNAcentral